CGGACGGGUGAGUAAUGUCUGGGAAACUGCCCGAUGGAGGGGGAUAACUACUGGAAACGGUAGCUAAUACCGCAUAAUGUCUGCGGACCAAAGCGGGGGACCUCCGGGCCUCGCGCCAUCAGAUGAACCCAUAUGGGAUUAGCUAGUAGGUGAGGUAACGGCUUACCUAGGCGACGAUCCCUAGCUGGUCUGAGAGGAUGAUCAGCCACACUGGGACUGAGACACGGCCCAG
This 232-nucleotide ribosomal RNA is filed under the name uncultured bacterium. Its description in RNAcentral is "partial 16S ribosomal RNA". It matches the Rfam family "Bacterial small subunit ribosomal RNA", at positions 99 to 334 of the family's 1533-position model. The record is from RNAcentral.